AGAAUCAACGCUGGCGGCGUGCCUAACACAUGCAAGUCGCACGAGAAAGGGACUUCGGUCCUGAGUACAGUGGCGCACGGGUGAGUAACACGUGAAUCAUCUACCUCCGAGUGGGGAAUAACUGAGAGAAAUCUUAGCUAAUACCGCAUAACACUUACGAGUCAAAGCAGCAAUGCGCUUGGAGAGGAGUUCGCGGCAGAUUAGUUAGUUGGCGGGGUAAUGGCCCACCAAGACGAUGAUCUGUAUCCGGCCUGAGAGGGCGCACGGACACACUGGAACUGAAACACGGUCCAGACUCCUACGGGAGGCAGCAGUGGGGAAUUUUGCGCAAUGGGGGAACCCUGACGCAGCAACGCCGCGUGGAGGAUGAAAUCCCUUGGGAUGUAAACUCCUUUCGAUAGGGAAGAUAAUGACGGUACCUAUAGAAGAAGCCCGGCUAACUUCGCGCCAGCAGCCGC
RNAcentral lists this ribosomal RNA (458 nucleotides) under uncultured bacterium. Its description in RNAcentral is "SSU rRNA". It matches the Rfam family "Bacterial small subunit ribosomal RNA", at positions 26 to 518 of the family's 1533-position model. The record is from RNAcentral.